Molecule: ribosomal RNA, 460 nt
Filed under: uncultured bacterium
Lineage: Bacteria
Description: partial 16S ribosomal RNA
Rfam family: Bacterial small subunit ribosomal RNA
Source: RNAcentral
CCUACGGGUGGCAGCAGUGAGGAAUAUUGGUCAAUGGACGAGAGUCUGAACCAGCCAAGUAGCGUGAAGGAUGACUGCCCUAUGGGUUGUAAACUUCUUUUAUAUGGGAAUAACAUGUUCCACGUGUGGGAUUUUGUAUGUACCAUAUGAAUAAUGAUCGGCUAACUCCGUGCCAGCAGCCGCGGUAAUACGGAGGAUCCGAGCGUUAUCCGGAUUUAUUGGGUUUAAAGGGAGCGUAGGUGGAUUGUUAAGUCAGUUGUGAAAGUUUGCGGCUCAACCGUAAAAUUGCAGUUGAAACUGGCAGUCUUGAGUACAGUAGAGGUGGGCGGAAUUCGUGGUGUAGCGGUGAAAUGCUUAGAUAUCACGAAGAACUCCGAUUGCGAAGGCAGUUCACUGGACUGCAACUGACACUGAGGCUCGAAAGUGUGGGUAUCAAACAGGAUUAGAUACCCCAGUAGUC